RNAcentral lists this ribosomal RNA (468 nucleotides) under uncultured bacterium. RNAcentral's name for it is "partial 16S ribosomal RNA". It matches the Rfam family "Bacterial small subunit ribosomal RNA", at positions 28 to 507 of the family's 1533-position model. The record is from RNAcentral.
GACGAACGCUGGCGGCGUGCUUAACACAUGCAAGUCGAACGGAAAGGCCCUGCUUUUGUGGUGUGCUCGAGUGGCACACGGGUGUGUCACACGUGAGUAACCUGCCCUUGACUUUGGGAUAACUUCAGGAAACUGGGGCUAAUACCGGAUAGGAGCCUCUGCUGCAUGGUGGGGGUUGGAAAGUUUCGGCGGUUGGGGAUGGACUCGCGGCUUAUCAGCUUGUUGGUGGGGUAGUGGCUUACCAAGGCUUUGACGGGUAGCCGGCCUGAGAGGGUGACCGGCCACAUUGGGACUGAGAUACGGCCCAGACUCCUACGGGAGGCAGCAGUGGGGAAUAUUGCACAAUGGGCGGAAGCCUGAUGCAGCAACGCCGCGUGCGGGAUGACGGCCUUCGGGUUGUAAACCGCUUUCGCCUGUGACGAAGCGUGAGUGACGGUAAUGGGUAAAGAAGCACCGGCUAACUACGUG